CAGUAGCCACGGUAAUACGUAGGUGGCGAGCGUUGUCCGGAAUUAUUGGGCGUAAAGGGAGCGCAGGCGGACAUAUAAGUCCAUCUUAAAAGUGCGGGGCUCAACCCCGUGAGGGGAUGGAAACUGUAUGCCUUGAGUGUAGGAGAGGAAAGCGGAAUUCCCAGUGUAGCGGUGAAAUGCGUAGAUAUUGGGAGGAACACCAGUGGCGAAGGCGGCUUUCUGGACUGCAACUGACGCUGAGGCUCGAAAGCCAGGGGAGCGAACGGGAUUAGAUACCCGCGUAGUCCCUGUCUCUUAUAAA
RNAcentral lists this ribosomal RNA (301 nucleotides) under uncultured bacterium. Its description in RNAcentral is "partial 16S ribosomal RNA". It matches the Rfam family "Bacterial small subunit ribosomal RNA", at positions 509 to 809 of the family's 1533-position model. The record is from RNAcentral.